UUCUCUCUCCCCAACCUUCAUUCUCCUCCUACCCCCCAAAAACUCCAUUAAACAUAAAACCCAAAGCUCACAUUUUUACCCCAACCAUACACCAAAAACCAAGACCACUUUCACAAAACCUUAUCCAUUUGUCACCAUAAUCACUUUUCUGGGUCUAAAUUCACAAAAAUCCAAAGUUCGAAUUUCUCACUUUUUCAAAUAAACAAUGCCUCCAAAGAGAAUGAUAAGGGCAAGCAAGCAGCUGCAACAUCAAGAACUAGGAAGUAGAGCUCGAGAUCAUCCAACCCUCACAAAAUUAUUUUUGAGGAUGAUGCCCAAGCCAAAAUGUACUUUGUGCUAAUUCGUCGGAAAAUGACUCCUACAAGGUACACGUGUGAACAAAUUUUAACUGAUUUAGGUUUGAAGUUUGAAGUAGAUAGGAUGUUUCAUUCAAUUAUCUUUCUAUAAGUUAUGUACAUGGAAGUUCCGACAUACGAGUAUGUUACUCUUGAGUUUUAGAGUACCCUUGAUUUCCAUUUGCAUAGGAAGUGGGUUGGCGAUGUGAGGUACUUCUACGGUACUCUCAAAUUCCGUCUUUUUAAUCAAAAGCAUGAUUUGUAUGUUGAAUAUAUGAGGAGUAUUCUUCUACUGCCUAUUUUUGGACCCGUAGAUGUUCCAGAUGAUUCCCUUGUUGCACAAUUCUGGGCUGAAAUUACAGGUAAUUUAGACUAUAGUUCUGCAACCGCAAAAGCUUCCAUUAUCCAUAAUCCUUGUUUCUGGUAUGCUAAAAGAGAACUAUUUUCAUGUAUUCUAAGGCCCAUAAUGAGAUGGUUAACGCCGAUACAUUUGCGGAUAACUAUUUAGGAAGGGUUGCUCGUGCGACCACUGGGGGUAUGAUUACCCAAAUCACCGAUUACCUAGGUUAUGCACCUAAUUUGUCUCAAGAUUGUUUGGUUGCAGGUAAAACAAAAAGUGAUAUGGAAGCCCUUAUUCAUCAGGGCAUGAUUGCUGUUGUCGGUAACACCUACUCGGUGAUGAUCUACAACCAACACCUCAUCGAUCUACCCGACCCAGACAUAGUAAGAAUUGAUGAUAAGAAUAAUUGGAUUUAUGUAGUAGUUUCCCCUCUUCCGGUUUUGUCUGACGAAGAGGACAACCAUGAUUUUGAUAACUUUGUUGCAGGUAAUGCUAUGGAUCAAGACCUUGCACCCUCACACCUCUGCCCUGCCCAACAAGAAACCAGGGUUACUAGUGUAAAUCAAGGAUGAUGGGCAUGGAUACAAUCUGAGCUAGGUGACCUGAGAUCUGAACAAGUAUGGAAAAUCUUCGAGCAAGCAAGGCAAGGAGCAUUACUGGAUAACAUGCAAGCAAUGAUGCAACAAAUGAUAUUGCAUUUCCCUCCACCUCCUAAGUGAGGACUUCUAUGAGUUACCACUAUUUUCUUGUGCUAAAAUAUUGAGGACAAUGUUUGGUUCAUGUUUGGGGGGGGGGGGUACCUGUUUUUGUUUUCUUUAUUACCACUAUUUUCUUGUGCUAAAAUAUUGAGGACAAUGUUUGGUUCAUGUUUGG
This 1548-nucleotide long non-coding RNA is filed under the name Lathyrus oleraceus (garden pea). RNAcentral describes it as "Pisum sativum (pea) long non-coding RNA (PSAT_LNC004032)". Lineage: Eukaryota; Viridiplantae; Streptophyta; Magnoliopsida; Fabales; Fabaceae. The record is from RNAcentral.